GAUGAAGAACGUAGCGAAAUGCGAUAAGUAAUGUGAAUUGCAGAAUUCAGUGAAUCAUCGAAUCUUUGAACGCACAUUGCGCCUGCCAGUAUUCUGGCGGGCAUGCCUGUUCGAGCGUCAUUACAACCCUCAGGCCCCCGGGCCUGGCGUUGGGGAUCGGCGGAAGCCCCCUGCGGGCACAACGCCGUCCCCCAAAUACAGUGGCGGUCCCGCCGCAGCUUCCAUUGCGUAGUAGCUAACACCUCGCUACUGGAGAGCGGCGCGGCCACGCCGUAAAACACCCAACUUCUGAAUGUUGACCUCGAAUCAGGUAGGAAUACCCGCUGAACUUAAGCAUAUCAAUAAGCGGAGGA
RNAcentral lists this unclassified non-coding RNA (353 nucleotides) under soil metagenome. RNAcentral describes it as "partial contains 5.8S ribosomal RNA, internal transcribed spacer 2, and large subunit ribosomal RNA". The stretch from base 1 to 120 matches the Rfam family "5.8S ribosomal RNA", at positions 35 to 154 of the family's 154-position model. The record is from RNAcentral.